This 253-nucleotide ribosomal RNA is filed under the name uncultured bacterium. RNAcentral describes it as "partial 16S ribosomal RNA". It matches the Rfam family "Archaeal small subunit ribosomal RNA", at positions 474 to 727 of the family's 1478-position model. RNAcentral also lists the same sequence under 1 other name. The record is from RNAcentral.
UACCAGCACCCCGAGUGGUCGGGACGAUUAUUGGGCCUAAAGCAUCCGUAGCCGGUUUUACAAGUCCUCCGUUAAAUCCAACUGCUUAACAGAUGGGCUGCGGAGGAUACUAUAAGACUAGGAGGCAGGAGAGGCAAGCGGUACUCAGUGGGUAGGGGUAAAAUCCGUUGAUCCAUUGAAGACCACCAGUGGCGAAGGCGGCUUGCCAGAAUGCGCUCGACGGUGAGGGAUGAAAGCUGGGGGAGCAAACCGG